GAGUGACAUGACUGAAGACGACGUCGUUUGAAGCUCUAACUCUUCCUUACACUGAGAACACCAACCUCUGUACUUUUCUUUGAUUAUUUCUAGGAAGUUCACUUAAUGUAUAAAGGGGACCUUCCCGUUUUAAAUUCUCACGUGUAUUUUUCUAUUUAGAAUAUAAAACUCUCUCUCUCUCUCUUGUGCAAAAAUUAUUACUUGUUCUAUUGUUCUUUCAUCUCGAUAUUUCUACACGACUAUCACUAAUCUUAGCUACACGAUAUCCUCUUGUUCAUAUAACGCUUGAUUCCGAUUGACCCUUGUUAUUUUCGAUUAUUUUUUAGCUUAAUAAGUAUUUACAUAACUAUUUAGCAAAACAAUUUGGCGCCGUCUGUUGGGAUUGCGUGGAUCAAAGUUGGACUUUACUUCUACAGAUCCUUCAAAAACCACUUUCCACAACCUACAAUUUCUGAAAACAACGCUAGAAUGAAAGCUAUCGUGGAUGCUAGAACUGAUCUAAUGGCCCUCUCAAUGCGGCUGCUGAAGGGGAUGCUCUACACGCAACCCCUAAUACCCUGAUAAACGUGGAAACCCAGCUUCCCGUUCUUAAGAUCUGGUGGUUCUAUGAGAAAAAGAGGCUUCUACAUCUACAACUAAACAACAACCCCAAGAGGUAAAAAGCUUACUGGAAGAGUGGUUGACAAACGCUCUGAGCAGUUUAGUUGGGAAGCCACCCAAAACGCUAGAUGCACACCAGCGACAAACCAUGUUGUAGUCGAAGAUGAACUCAAGGUCACACGAACAAACAACAUGCCCGUCGAUGCUCAAGCCCACAGGGGCACACUUACAGCCAUCCCCAAAAAGAUGGAGGAAAUGGAAAACAAAAAUAUGUCGCUUCACGACCAGAUGAAGGAGCACCAAGAAAGAGUGGACAAGAUCUCGGGUGCGCCUACGCUACUGCCAAAGCGAGACUUAGGUAUGUUCAUUGAACAACCCUGCACAGAAGGUUAGGCAUUGUACCCUAUCCCAAAAACCAUAAAAAUGCCCCCUCCUUGAAGGUAUAUGACGGGACCUCAGAUCCCGAGGACCAUCUGAUUCACAAUGCCAGGGCUGUCAAAGGUAUUGAUCUAUUAAAGGAGCAGGCACCAUCUGUGCUUCUGAAGAAGUUUGACGAAACGCUAACAUGAGAGGCCCUAACGUGGUACUCCCAGUUGCCGGCCAAAAGCAUCUCCACGUUCGAGGAAAUGGCAGAUAAAUGUGUCAUCGCCCACGCAGAAGCCAAGAAGCGGAAGCACGAGUCAACGACAUCUUUGUUGUCCGACAAGCCUCGGGAGAAGGGAUCAGAGAGUUCUUAGCCAGGUUCAACAGGGUAAGAAUGAGCCUACCAAAUUUGUCAGAAUGCAUGGCAGUCGCGGCUUUUCAGAACUGACUCAGCAGAGAAGGCUCAUGGGCAACCAGGAAACUGCUUAGCCAUCUUAUGAAAUAUCUCCCCAUCACCUGGGAAGAAAUUCACAAUGCCUUUUGUGCUGAGGUAUGUGGAGACGAUGAUGACCUUAAUAGCCCGACCCGGCAACUAAUGACGGUGCAACCAGAAAUCCAAAGAGAUCGACUCAAUAAGAGAUGACGGGAACAAGUCCCACGCUUCAAUAGUGAGAGGCACCAACUCUACAUCAGAUCUUCACAUCCGCCAAGGCACGCAGAUGCCUUACAAAGACAUGUCGCCCCACUGAGGAAAGAAAGAGGUAUGCCUACUUUACUAUCUGCACAUAAGUUUUGUGUAUCUCCUUCAGAAGUAGUGUACGCACUGGAGAAGCUGGACAACAAAGUACAAUGGCCAGCGAAGAUGAACUCUGACCCCGCCACCUGAAAAUCAAAUACCCUACGUGAGUUCCACUAGGAACGGGGGCACAGAAAUGAAUACUGCAUAGGUCUCCGACAGGAGGUGGUCCGGAUGUUGAACCAAGGAUUCUUGAAAGAACUUCUCAGCGACAAAGGAAACCUCAACUUCGCACGCGGGCGGGAACAACCUCACGGCCCGCCAAGGCCGCCCUCACCAAAACACACCAUCAAUAUGAUCAUUGGGGACGGUAAUGACUCAGCGAUCAACCAUGUCAAAUUCACCACCACUCACAAAUUAAAGCAAACCAUCAGUCACGAACGGUAUGACGACUUAGAAUAUAGUAUCACCUUCGAUAAGUCUAAUACCGAUGGUUUGUUUUUUCCCCACCAUGAUGCUUUAUUUAUUACUUUACACAUAGUAGAUACUAACGUUGAAAGUAUUUUGGUCGACGAUGGCAGUGGCGCAUGUAUCAUUUAUCUAGGAGUCAUUGCACUAAUGGGACUCGAGGAUAAUAUAAUUCCAUGCUGUAUAACACUAACUUGUUUUAACAAUGCAGUGGAAAGAACCUCUCGGGAGGUAACACUGCCCGUUCUGGCAGGAGGGGUUACGAUGGAAACCACUAUGCACGUAAUUAACCAAGAAACGACAUACAACAUCAUAAUCGGAUGUACGUGGACAUGGAAGACAUCCGUGGAUAAAUGCCGUGAGGGAAGUCCCCUCCAAUUUCUAUCAAGUGAUUAAAUUCCCUACCCGAUGGGCGGUGUACAGCAUACAGGGCGAGCCGCGCACCACCCAAGAGUGUUAUAAAAUAGCUCAAGAUUACAUGCACCCCAACAUCUCAAAAGAGCAAGUGCGGAGGCAUAGCAAUCAGCCCUGUCGAGGGAUAAGGUCCACCCAAUAGAGGACUCCAUCAAAGAUCCCAAUAACAUUGAGGCUAACAAGACCACAGUCGAAGAUCUCGACCCCAUCCAGCUGAGCAGCAACGAUUCCACAAAGAAGUCUUAUAUAGGCCACGGCCUUUCAAAUCCAAGUAAGUAUCGUGAAUUUCUAUCUAACCAUGCAGGCAUGUUUGCUUUUUCCCAUGUAUAUAUUCCAGAGAUUCCACGAGAAAUUGCCUCCCAUAAACUGAAUGUUGAUCCGCUACACCCACCUAUGCGACAGGUAAGGAGAAAAUUCAAUGUCGCCAUCAAUUAAGUAGUAAGUGAAGAAGUAGAGAAGCUGCUUUGCGAACGGUUACAUUAGGGAGUACAAGUAUCUGGAAUGGGUUGCCAACGUUGUAAUGGUAAAAAAAUAAAAUGGGAAGUCGCGGAUGUGCGAGGUUUCCAUCGACCUAAACAAUGCGCGUCCAAAAGAUACGUUCCCACUGCCCCACAUCGACUAAUUAAUAGACGCAACGGCAGGGAUGAGUUGCUAAGCUUCUUAGAUGUGUACUCCUGCUACAAUCAAAUCAUGAUGGCCAAGGAAGAUCAGGAGAAAACAACCUUCAUCACUCACAAGGGAACAUACUGUUACAGGGUAAUGACCUUCGGGCUUAUGAAUGCGAGGGCCACAUACCAGAGGCUGGUGACUAUGAUGUUCAAAGAACAACUCGGCAACAUGAUGGAGGUCUAUAUUGAUGACAUGCUAGUGAAGUCAUCAAAGAAAGAGGACACCCGCUAUCACUUGAAAGAAGACUUCAAAAUAUUAAGAAGAUACGAUAUGAAUUAGAAUCCUGAAAAAUACAGAUAUGGCAUAGCCUCGGGAAAGUUCCUGGGGCUUCUGGUGUAACAAAUGGGCAUCGAAGUCAACCCAAACUAGAUCAAGGCCAUAGAAGCCAUAAUAGAAAUACUAAGCAGCAGAAAAACAAGUGCAAAAGCUGAUAGGUCGAAUAACCGCCCUCUCCGGGUUCAUCACACGCUCCUCCGACAGGUGCCAUAAAUUCUUCGGCGUAUUGAAAAAAGACCUAGGACUACAAUGGAACGAAUAAUGGGUCGAUGUCAUGAGGAGUUUGAAGGCAUAUCUGUCAUUGCCACCCCUACUAGUCAAAGCCAACCUAGUAGAACUGAUGUUGGUGUAUUUGGCUGUAUCGAAAGUCGCGGUUAGCGCCAUCCUAGUGUGCAAAAAUAGAGGUACUCAAUCUCCUAUUUAUUUCAUUAGCAAAAAUUUAGUGGAUGCCGAAACUCGGUACCCACACCUUGAGAGGCUGGCAUUGGCACUCAUAGUAGAUUCACGAAAGCUACGACCCUAUUUCCAAGCAACCCCAUAAGGGUAGUAACGACCUUCCCUUUAAGGAGUGUCUUACACAAACCCGAAUUCUCAGGCCGUCUCGCCAGAUGGUCCAUUGAGCUCAGCGAGCAUGAUAUCACAUACCUUCUAAGGACCGCCAUCAAGUCGCAAGUCCUAGCCCACUUUAUUGUCGACUUCAGUGUAGAAGUCCCGCCAAAGGGGAACUCGUGGCACAAUGCGCAUCCUCCAUAGACAACCUAUGGGUCCUUUAUACGGAUGGCGCUGCCAAUGCAUCGAUAUCAGGAUUGGGACUUGUUCUUGAGGUCACGGGCAAAACAAUUCGCCAGUCCAUACGAUGCCCGGAAAUGAGUAACAAUGAGGCCCAGUAUGAGGCCGUUAUUGCAGGCAUGAAACUGGCCACUAAAUAUGGGGCUCGCGGAAUCCUCCUCCAUUACGACUCCCAAUUUUUGGUAAACUAGGUUACUGGGAUUCAUCAAAUCAAAAUACAAAGGCUACAAAAGUACCAGACAGAAAUCCGCAAGCUGAUGGCUACAUUUGUCAAAUGUUGUUUCGAACAAAUCCCCAGAGAACGGAACAUCGAAGUGGACAGCCUGGCAAAGUUGGCUGCAACCACCAACAACAUUAACAAAGAAAGUGUGGUCACUCUCCUCCACUCGGUAGUUGAUCACACCGACGUACUUUCUUUAAAACUAACUUGGGACUAGCGUAACCAGUUCAUAUCUUAUCUGCAGGACAGGAUAUUACCCCCAAUAAAAAAGAGGCAAAGAAACUUUGCGUACAGGCCGUCCGAUACUGCAUGAUCAACAAGGACCUUUACAAAAGGACAUUUGGUGUCCCCUGGCUAAAUUCCUAGGGCCAUACCAAACAAGGCCAGUACACGAAAAAGUGCACGAAGGCCAUUGUGGUGCCCAACUAGCAACCGCGCCCUUGUGCCAUCAUAUUUGCUGGCUACUACUGUCCCACCAUAAAAAAUGAGGCAGCUGAAUAUGUCCUCCAAUGCAAACAAUGCCAAAAGUACGACCCAAUGAUACACCAACCAAGAGAACCCCUCCAUUUAGUCAUUUCCCCCUAGCCAUUCAUCAAAUGGGGAAUGGAUAUAGUCGGCCCACUACCUGCAGGACUAGGAAAGGUACGAUUUUUACUUGUUUUAACUAACUAUUUUUCUAAGUGGGUGGAAGUAGGUGCGUACGCACAAAUACGCGAACAAGAAGUCAUCUCCUUCAUAGGAAAAACAUCAUUUGUCGCUUCGGCAUCGCCAAAGAAAUCCAUUGCGACAACUGGCGACAAUUCAUCGGUCAAAAAACAACCGAGUUCUUCUGGAAAUUGCACAUCAAUAGAAUACUAUCCAUGCCAUACCACCCCGCUGCCAACGGCCAAGCGGAGUCCUCUAACAAAACAAUUCUAAACAUACUGAAAAAAAAAAGAAGCUUGAAGACGCCAAGGGGCUAUGGCCCGAACUAAUACCUGAAGUCUUGUGGGCAUACAGAACUACACCUAAGUCCAGCACUAGGGAAACCCCAUACUCACUAGUUUAUGGAACCGACGCGGUCAUACAUGUCAAAGUAGGCAAUCCACCAUAAGGUAUUCGCACACCAGCAGAACAGAAAACGACACCAGCAGACUUCAAGAUCUUGAUGAAGCCGAAGAAAGAAGGGAAAUGGCCCACAUCAGGAUGGUAGACCAAAAUUAGCAAGUCGAAAGAUAUUACGACAAAAGGGAAAAAAUGAGUCCACUAACAGUAGGAGACUAUGUCCUCAAAGCCAAUACGUUGGCUUCUAAAGACCCAAGUGAAGGAAAAUUGGGCACAAACUGGGAAGGACCGUACAAGACCACAGCGACAGCCGAAAAAGGAGCAUUCCAUCUAGAUACAAUGAAAGGAACAAACACUCCGGAACAACUGGAAUGUCGCUCACCACAAACAUUUCCACUUCUAAAAGGCCUCCCCUAAGUCGUACUCUUUUUUCCUUACCUGUGUUUUGUCCCAAUACAGUUUUCUCGGGAAGGUUUUUAACGAGGCGGAAAAGGGAACACCUGGAGAUGUUUGCAGUACAAGUGUAUCAUAUCAGCCUCUUUGUGUACUAUCCAAGCCCAACAUGAUACAAGGACUGGAUUAGUGCCAUCUCCAAUGUAUGAAAAGGCUACAGCCAUCUCCAAAUGUAUGACAAGGCUACGGCCACCUCCAAAUGUAUGAAAAGGCUACGGCCUCCUCCAAAUGUAUGAAAAGGUUACAGCCAUCUCCAAAUAUAUGAAAAGGCUACGACCACCUCCAAAUGUAUUAAAAGGCUACGGCCAUCUCAAAAUGUAUGAAAAUUCUACGGCUAUCUCCAAUGCACAAAAAGGCUAAGGCUAUCGAAUUUUACAUGGCUAAGGCCAUCAUUUUUACGGGGCUAAGGCCAUUGAAUUUUACAUGGAUAAGGCCAUAAUUUCUACAUGGCUAAGGCCAUUGAAUUUUACAUGGCUAAGGCCAUCGUUUUUACACGGCUAGGGCCGUCGAGUUUUACAUGGCUAAGGCCGUCAUUUUUACAUGGCUAAGGCCGUCGAAUUUUACAUGGCUAAGGCCAUCAUUUUUAUGCGGAUAAGGCCGUCGAGUUUUACAUGACUAAGUCCAUCAUUUUUACAUGUCUAAGGCCGUCAAAUUUUACAUGGCUAAGUCCAUCGUCUUUAUGCGGCUAAGGCCGUCGAAGUUUACAUGACUAAGGCAAACGUUCUUACAUGGCCAAGUCCGAAAAACCCCUUACAUAGCUAAGGCCGUAAAUUAUUACACGACUAAGGUUGUAAAAUCUUACAUGGUUAAGGCCGCCGUUGAACACGGAUUAAGUCCGUAAGAUCUUACAUAGCUAAAAUCCAUCAUUUUAUACGGCUAAGUCCACCCUUUUCACGUACCUAAGGUUGUCAAAAUUUAUGUAGCCGAAGCCAUAAUUUCUUCUCGACAAAGGCCGCCAAAUCCUUUGCGCUCAGAGUGGUCGCCACCGAAUUACCCACCUAGCUUCAACUAUGGCAAAAAAAACAACAAGGCUCCAGAAAACAUAAAAAGAUUAACUAUGUCAAAAGUCAUGUCUUUAUCUUCAAAAGGGGCCAACACCCAUGAUACAAAAAUCGGUAUAUACAAACAUAUUUGUUUACAAAAAUCCUGAAGGCCUCCGCCACUGUGAUCAUCCUGCCCCACCUGAUCUUCAUGUGGUCCAUCUUUAUUCCAGGAGUGUAUGCCUUGGAAAUCCAAGAGCUGGACUCCAAACGGUUAUUAUCUGCAGAGUUUCCCCCCUCCUAGGCCUGUGAUUCAUACUAUAGCCGGCCGCUUCACGGGAAACUCCAACCAACUGCCGUUGACUCUCAACCUCCGCCUCAGAUGCUCGCCCGACCACAAGAAAUUCUUCAAGUACGACUAGUCAGGCCUCUGCAUACACCCACAUCUCGUGUGACUCACGAGACGUAUCAGGCCGUGCAAUAUCCCUCUUUAGGUCCUCAACCUCGGCCUUCUUGGCAUCAAGUUCCGCUGUUAAGGCCGCAACCCUAGUGCUCAAUUUUGCUGCCUUGUCUGCCACUACGCGACCGAGAAGCAAUUUGUCAUCCUUAGAUUGAAUAAGGAUCUCCAUCUCCGCAUCCCAAGCAACAACGACUAUGAGUUUCUCAUCAACUUUCUCCAGCUCAGCCACCCUCUUCUUCAACCGUGCCUUAGACUGCAUGAGGCCCUCACGGAACAAUAUAAAGUUAUGGUCAUGUUUAUGCAUAUCGGCCAAGGUUCGGUGCGACUCACGCAUCCUGUUAUACUUCUGCACCAACUUAUGUACUUGGCCACUUUCUUCUUUAAACGUACACCCCUCUCCGCCUUCAAGAUUAGAUUGUUUAAAAAGCCUAAAAGUUUAAGCAAGGAAAAUCACCCUCCACAAAUACAAAAAAAAAAUCAAUGAAGUCAAAAGACAUACCUGCAAGGCCGUACUCGCCACUCUUCGGACAAAGUCUUUGUCACUAGUCUCCGCCAGGGCUGCGCUCUUGGCACCCGCACAUAAAAGUGUCAUACUGGCGGCCACCUCCUCGCAAUUUUCCAACAAAUUAUAAUGACUGGGAAUCACUAUGCGACGGGAAGCCUGGCCAGCUACCAUCUCCACUUGGUCUAAGGACACGCCUUCUCCGCCCACGUCCUCGAUGGCUAUUUUUGAGCUCGCCACAUCCACACUCACCCCUGUCUCUACGACCACCCGCGAUCUUCCAUCCCAAGCACGUGCCGGGAGGAGGUCAGUAACUACCUCCCUUAUAAGAGAAGACCUCCCGGAGCGAAUGGCUUCAGCCAUGAACCUUCGCCUUGCCAGCAUGAAUCCGGCGUCUCUUCAUUCUAGCGGCUCUUCUUCUUCAAGGCCCCUCUCCGUGGGAUUCAAGUCAGGCUCAGAUGGCAUCACUUCGAUAGUGGGCAUCCUUUUGGGGGAAACCUCGGGGACGGUCCUAGGCACAGUCGUCGGUAUCUCCUUGGGCAUCAUCUCAAGCAUGGCCCACGCACUGCCUCUGACAUUGCCUCGGGAUCCGCCGCUUAUGCGGCUUCUUCCCUUGAGGGGUAGAAGCACUGCCCCUAGACGUACCUACGAGGAUCAUAUCCUCCUCAUCAGAAUUAGACGCCGCCAUAGAAGAGCCGUCCACAUUUUUUUCCUUCUUCUUCUUCGCCUUCUUCGAAGCGCCCCAGCCUACGAAAACAUGUAUGAGUUGAGCAAGAAAAAUUAAGGGGGGUCUCCAAGCCAAUACGGAAAGGAAAAACCAAGCAAGGUCAUUACCUGUCGGGCCAUAGAUCUUGAGGAAUUCAGGACAUGUGUGGCAUUCCUCCGCAAAUGGGAUUAUUGCUCUCACCCACGACCUAAUAUCAUCAAUCCGUCGAGGAGUGCGAGAUAUCACUACAUAAAGGCAAAAGAAAAUCUACAAUAGUUAAGCCGACGAAAUAAGAUUGCCAUAAAAACUGCAUACAAAAAUGCUUACUCGAUGUGUUCCAUGCCUCCGGGAACCCUUCAGGGUUAGACGCCAGAUGCUGAGUACGAACGUAGAAAAAUUUCUUCCAAAAUUUACGAUUGGCCUUGUCGUUGGCUUGCACCACAAAACUCAUCUUGCCCCAACAUACCAACUGGAGCAUGGUACCUCUCAUGAAGCUCACGCUGAACAUUUGCAAGAGGUGGUGAACAGAGACCUCUUUCUCAGCCUUAGCCGCAUAGGUGGUAAGAAUCCUACACACCUUCAGCGCAUAUGGGGUAAGUUGGGCCAGACACGCCCCAUACAAACGAUAAAUCUCCUCCGCCAGAGGAUUCCAGCCUUAGCAAGCGUACGUGGUAAGAAUCCUACACACCUUCAGCGCGUACGGGGUAAGUUGGGCCGGACACAGACCAUAUAUCCAAUCCGGAAAGCAAUAUCAUAAAACGUGCAAUAUACUGGUCUGUGCACUUUGGGAUAGUAUGUCCUAGUUAGAGUCAUCUCAACAUAAUCAGGAAUAUUGUACGACUUCCUGAGAGCAGCCAAAUGAGGCAAGGAGAGAGUUUAUAUUUGUUGUUAAAAUCCUUCCGUGGGACCAUAUAUUGUGGAAGUAUGUUGGACAUUCAUAGAUGAACGAGGACCUCCUCGGCUUCUCCUUCCCCGUCGUCUAAGGACGAUGAAACCCUUGAAGGGGCAUCACCCUUGGUCUUUUCGCAAUCGUGGCAACGCUUAACCAUGAUGAAAGUUAUGAAAGAAUGGCGCUUCACGGGCAUAGGGUUCGAAUUUCGGGACCAAAAAUUUUAAGUAGAUCGACGAGUAUCAGAAAAAAAUGAGGAUAAGAUUGAGAAAUUACUCUGUGAAAAGGUUCGAAAGUUGAAUUGGGUUCGACCUCCCCUCUACUUAUAAGGAAAGGCACGCGAAAAUCAAAAAGGCAUGAUUCGAUGACCGGCACGGAAAACCAAAAUGGCACAUCAUGUCCUGAACCGGUUCGGAAGUAAAAGUAAUGAUCACGCACGUGAUCGAUGAUGUCAUCCUAAAAAGGAGCCCUAAAAGGAGGUUAUAUAGACUAAACUGAAAAGCAGAAAGAAUAGUCUUUUGUAGGUUAGAUAAAUGAUGAAUUAGGUAGGGACUACGUCCUUAAUUAAAUGCUAGUCUUAGGUUUCCUAAAAGGGAAAAAAGUAUUUGUUGCAUGAAAUGUAAAUACAUGGUUGUGUAGGUGUCAUUUGUUAUUAUCCUUGAGCCACUUUUGGUUAUUUGCCUCAUCCAGGCUCCAGCUAUAUAUAUUACCUUAUCAGACAGUAAAGUACAAGAGGGUAACAGCUUGCAUGUGGAUGAAAUGACACAAAAAAAAUUCUUUAUCUAUUUUUAAACAAAAUCAGAAAAGAUAAUUAUAUAGUUCACAUGUUAUUACAUAUUUGUUGUUAUUUAGUAUUUUUAUAUAAGACAUUAUUAAAACGUUUUAUAUAUCACUUCAGAGUAAUGGCAAAAGCAGACAUUUACUUUCCUUUUUCUUCCAUUAUUUUUAAAGCCACAGAGUAAGAAACAAAAUUGGGCUCCAUGCUUGUUUUAUGUCCAUUAAAUUCCAUAGUAAAAACCAAAACCUUAUUUACUCUUACUGUCCUGUUUCUUGAACUUGGCCAUUGCUGAAGCCGUUAGGUUAUGCAAACUGGCUGAUCGAGGUAAGGCUGCUCUUUUGCACUUCAUCUGGAAUAAUUUUUUUAUUUCUGUUUUACCUAGUAUUUUGGUACCCAUAUUUCUUUUUUUUCUUAAAGCCAAUCUCGUUCUCUCAAAAGUACAGACAUAAAUACUGCUAUGAUCAAAAGGCGGAGAUAAACCAUAUCAAUGAAGGUGUCAUUGCUAUAUAGUACAAGGCAAACAUCGAUGGUGCUUUUGACAAAAAUAUCGUGGAAGGAGGCAUUGUUGCUGUCAUUCGUGAUACAAAAGGAAGGUGGUGUAUGGGUAUAUCAAUGAAAGUUAAUUCAACCUCACCUAUGCAAACAGAACUUAUUGCUCUAAGCCACAGCUUACAACUAAUCAGGAAACAACUCUUUCCAAUUGAAGUGGAAAUUGAUGCGAUGGAGAUAUUAAAAAUAUUCCACAAUAACACAAGUACUAAUAACAAAUUAGGCCAUGAAUGCAGCUUAUUGGUGGAGAAGGCAACCAAGCAGGGGAUAAUAUCAUUCAAGCAUAGCUUCAGGCAAGGGAAUGGAGUGGCACACGUUUUGGCAAAUGCAGCACAAAGAAAUAACUCUUUCGAUAAGCUAUACAGUUUUGGUACACCUCCUGAUUUUGUUAGGGCUGUCUAUGAGAAUGAUAUGGAGGACUAUGUUAAUGUUAGAACUAGUUGUAUUAAAUAAUGUGAAGAUCUAGCUAAACUAGGAAAUAUGAGUGCCAUAUGUAGCCUAAUGAUAUAUUCUAAUGAUGCAUGUAUGACAAACAUCCAUAGGGGAAACCAUCUCUCUCUACUUAACUUAAUAUGUAUACAUAUAUAAAAUAUGCUUUCUGUUUCAAAAAUAAAAAGGUGCUACUUCACAAUGCUUUAAAAAAAAUUCUUGAAAUAUAUUUAAUCGGAGAGCCAUAUUUGCACAAAACCAUCCGAACCCUAUAAAAAAGGAGUGCAUUUAUUAUUGGUUGAUGAAGUUGCUGGACUGAAGUAAAUUAUUUUAAUUCUUAAGAAGCAAAACUGGAACUAAUAGUACAUACUUGAAAUACCAUCAAAUAUGCAUAUGAUGUUUAAAUAGCAAGAGUAAUAGAGAUGUAGCAGAAGAAAAAAAUUCAAUAUCACAUUUUAAGGUACAUACAAAAGUUUGAAAAUAUAGUUUCAUGAUUCCUGGUAGCUUGCAGUAUCAGCAAAUUCCUCCAGUGCAUUAAAGUCAAAAGACAUACCUGCAAGGCCGCACCCGCCACUCUUCGGGCCACGUAUUUGUAACUAGUCUCUGCCAGGGCCGCACUUUCGGCACCCGCACAUAAAAGUGUCAUAUUGGUGGCCGCCUCCUCGCAUUUUUCCAACAAAUUAUAAUGUCUGGGAAUCACUAUGCGACGGGAAGCCUGGCCAGCCACCAUCUCCACUUGGUCUAAGGACCCGCCUUCUCCGCCCGUGUCCUCGAUGGCGAUUUUCGGGCUCGCCACAUACACACAUUCACCCCCUCUCUCUGCGGCUACCCACGAAGGUCCUCAACCUCGGCCUUCUUGGCAUCAAGUUCCGCCAUUAAGGCCGCAAUCGCACAUGCCAGGAGGAGGUCAGUAACUGCCUCCCUUCUACGAUCAGACCUCCCCAAGCGAAUGGCUUCAGCCAUGAAGACCGGCCUGGAAUCACGGCGGGGUGGCUUAACCUUCUCUAUCUGUGUAAACACCGCCUUGCCAGCACGAAUCUGGUGUCUCUUCAUUUCCUACGACUCUCCUUCUUCAAGGCCCCUCUCCGUGGGACGCAAGCCGGGAUCACAUGGCGUCACUUCGAUAGCGGGCGUCCAUAUGGGGGCAACCUCGGGGACGGUGUUAGCCAUAGCUGCCGGUACCUCCUAGGUUUUGACGUUAUGUUUCUUUUUCUCCUUCUUCAAGGCCCCUCUCCGUGGGACGCAAGCCGGGAUCACAUGGCGUCACUUCGAUAGUGGGCGUCCUUAUGGGGGCAACCUCGGGGAUGGUGUUAGCCAUAGCCGCCGGUACCUCCUAUGGCGUCAUCUCAAGCGUGGCCCCAAGCACCGCCUCAGACAUUGCCUAAGGAGCCGCCGCUGAUCUGGCUUCUUGCCUUGAGGGGGGAGAAGCACUGCCCCUAGACGUACCUACGAGGAGCAUAUCCUCCUCGUCAGAAUCAGACGCUGCCCUAGAAGGGCCGGCCACAGUUUUCUUCUUCUUCUGCGCCUUCUUCGAAGCACCCGACCUAUCAAAACAUGUAUGAUUUGAUCAAGGAAAAUUAAGGGGGUCUCCAAGCCAUAACAUUGAAGCACCCCGACCUACCAAAAUAUGUAUGAGUUACGCAAGGAAAAUUAAGGGGUGUCUCCAAGACAGAACGGAAAGGAAAAACCUAGCAAGGCUGUUACCUGUUGGGACAUAGAGCGUGAGGAAUUCUAGCCAGGUGUGGCAUUACUUCGCAAACGGUAUUUAAGCUCUCACCCAUGACCUAAUGUCAUCAAUCUGUCGAGGAGUGCAAGCUGUCACUACAUAAAGGUAAAAGGAAAUCUAAGAUGGUUAAGCCAAAAAAAUAAGAUUGCCAUAAAAACUACAUACAAAAAUGCUUACAUGUUGUGCUCCAUGCCUCGGGGAACCCUUCAGGGUUAGACGCCAGAUGCUCAGUACGAACAUAGAAAAAUUUCUUCCAAAAUUUACGACUGGCCUUGUCGUCGGCUUGCACCGCAAAACUCUUCAUGCCCUGACGUACCAACUUGAGCAUGGUACCUCUCAUGAAGCUCACGCUAAACAUUUACAAAAGGUGGUGAGCGGAGACCUCUUUCCUAGCCUUAGCAGUAUAAGUGGUAAGAAUCCUACACACCUUCAGCGCGUACGGGGUACGAUGGGCCGGACACGCCCCAUACCAACGGCGAAGCUCCUCCGCCAGAGGAUUAAGCGGGAAGCUAUAUCCAAUCCAAAAAGCAUACUCAUAAAACGUGCAAUAUCCUGGCAUGUGCACAUUGGCAUAGUCCGUCCCAGUGGGAGCCAUCUCAACAUAACCAAUAAUAAUGUACGACUUCCUGAGAGCAGCCAAAUGAGACGACGUCAGCUCGCUAAACUCCCUACGGAGGGAGUUUAUAUUUGUUGUUAAAAUCCUUCCGUGUUACCAUGUCUUGCGGAAGUACGUUGGAUGUUGAUAGAGGAACGAGGAUCUCCUCGACUUCUCCUUCUGUAUCGUCUAAGGACAAUGAAACCCUAGAAGAGGCAUCACCUUGGACUUUUCGCUAUCGUGGCGACGCUUAACCAUGAUGAAAGUUACGAGUGAACGACGUUUCAGGGGCACGAGGUUUGAUUCCCGAGAAUGAAAAUUUUAAGAAGAUCAACGAGUACCAGAAAACUAUGAGGAUAAGAUUGAGCAAAUACUCUCUGAAUACGUUCGAAAGUUUAAUUGAAUUCAACCUCCCCUCUACAUAUAAGGAAAAGCACACGGAAAUCGAAAAGGCAUAAUUAGAAAAUCGGCGUGGGAAACAAAUACGUCAUGUCAUGUCCUGAACUGCCUCAGGAGCAAAAGUAAUGAUCACACACGUGAUCGAUGAUGUCAUCUUAAAAAGGAGCCCUAAAAGGAGGUUAUAUGUCAACGGCAUAACACCUUCACAUAUGAUCACGCCCUUUUUCACAGUAUCCAAGCGUACGGCUAAAUUUCUAGAAAGGUCGAGCACGUAUGUCCGUUCGUUGAAGACGUUUCUCGGCUACGUCCCCAAUAAAUUGAGGGACUAUCUGUAUUGGAAAAAUUUGGUUCCCUAUUUUCUUAUGCUAUCUACGCACGUCCUUGAUAUAGAGACCGGCCCAACUGAGGUCGACUUGAGUAAGGUCGACCACAGUACGUAGUGGAAAAAGAAUGUUAUAUCUUUAAUAUUUCUGCUCCAGAAACCGAAAGGUUGAAAAUGAACCAGACAUUGGAUAAAUUUUAUCCUACGUAAUCCAAAGUAUUCCUUCUACUAUAGCUAACUUCUCCUAGCUUUGGCACAGCUACCUCUAAUUAUGCAACCUAAAAUCAUUAAGGGAGAGAUGCGUUUGGCUGAAAAUGUUUUCAUACUUAUGCUUCCUUUUUACGAAUUCGUAUGGUAAACUGAACAUGAAUAAAUACAAGUGUCUGAUAAUAAACUCUACAAAUAUAUUUUCAUCAAGAUAGAGUCGAGAGAGAAACAUAGUAUUGGUAUUAUACACUUCAAUUAAAAUUAAGUAUAGAUUAGAAAAAAGGAGGUAAUUGAAUUAUGUACUAGAAUAAAAUAUGCAUUAAUGUAAAUUUGGAACACGAAAUUAUAAAUUCCAAAAUCAAAAGACACUUGAAAAUACAAGCGCUCUUUUUUUCUCUAACAUUAAAAGAAGAUUCCGCAGUAGAAAUAUUAGAAUUUCUUGCCAUUGUUGUAAUCGAACUGGGCAAGUAAUUGUUUAACAAUGGCGUACAAGCACUCUUUUUUUCUCUAACAUGAAAAGAAGAUUCCGCAGUAGAAAUUUUAAAAUUUCUUGCCAUUGUUGUAAUCGAACUGGUCAAGUAAUUGUUUAACAAUGGCGAGCACGUACACACACACACAUAUAUAUAUAUAUGAACCGUUUGACUAAACUCAUACUUGCGAAUUAAUUGAAAGUUGCAAUCCAAAAGAAAAUCAGUAGACUUCUAUCGAUGAGAGAACCGGAACAACUAGUAAAAAUAGGGGGUUAAUUUUUAUUUUUUUUCACAACCAUACUAUAUGAUUUAAUCUGAAUAUUCUUAUGGUCAAAGUUCAAUAUGGCAGGCAAUCAAAAUAUAAAAGGGAAAAUUUAUGCUUUAAUCACUUUUAAUGGAGAAAGAAAAUAAUUCACUAUAGCAAACAUUUUCUAUAACAACAUUUAAUGUUUUUUACAACCAUACUAUAUGAUUUAAUCUGAAUAUUCUUAUGGUCAAAGUUCAAUAUGGUAGGCAACCAAAAUAUAAAAGGGAAAAUUUAUGCUUUAAUCACUUUUAAUGGAGAAAGAAAAUAAUUCACUAUAGCAAACAUUUUCUAUAACAACAUUUACUAUAAGUAAUGGUACUAUUUUAGGUGAGUGGUUAUGCCAUAAAUCUUUGCAGAAUUAGUUGAUAUGUCAGAUUAGGGGUAUAUAUCAGUCAUGAGCAUAAAAACAUUUAUUAACAUUCUUUCUUUAGUAAAUCAACUCAAACUAGACAACACAAAGAAGAGAUUUUAACUUCUAUGGAUAUUGAUAGUCAUGAGCAUAAAAACCUUUAUUAACAUUCUUUCUUUAGUAAAUCAACUCAACUAGACAACACAAAGAAGUGAUUUUAACUUCUAUGGAUAUUGAUAACGUAACGAUUUAAGUUGUAUAUUGACAGUUAAAUUUUUUAUUUCAUACCAUUAAUUCUGACUCGUCCGUACACUGAGACCACCAACCUCUGUACUUUUCUUUGAUUAUUUCAAGGAAUGUCUCGUAAUAUAUAAAGGGGACCUUCCCUUUGUAAAGGCUCACGUGUAUUUUGCUACUUAUAAUAUACAACUCUCUCUCACACUCUAUCUCUUGUGGAAAGAUGAUUACUUGUUCUAUUGUUCUUACAUCUCAAGAUAUCUACACUAUUAUCACAAAUCUUAGCUACAUGUUAUUCUUUAGUUAAUGGUUACUUGUUCUAUUGUUCUUACAUCUCGAGACAUCUACACUAUUAUCACAAAUCUUAGCUACAUGUUAUUCUUUAGUUCAUAUUACGCUUGAUUCUGAUUAACCCUUGUUAUUUUCGAUUAUCUUUUAGCUUAAUAAGUAUUCACAUAACUUUUUAGCCUAACAAGUUAAUUACUUAGCACAUUUACAAACCAAGAUUUUUAGCUUAAUGAGUAUUCACAUAACUUUUUAGCCUAACAAGUUAAUUACUUAGAACAUUUACAAACCAAGAUUUAAAAAAAAAAGGUUGAAUAGAAACUAGCGUAUAUCAAGACUAAACUGAAAAAGCAGAAAGAACAGUCUUUUAUAGGUUAGAUAAAUGCUGAAUUAGGUAGGGACUACGUCCUUAAUUAAAUGCUAGUCUUAGGUUUCCUAAAAGGGGAAAAAGCAUUUGUUGCAUGAAAUGUAAAUGCAUGGUUGUGUAGGUGUCAUUUUUUAUAAUCCUUGAGCCACUUUUGGUUAUUUGCCUCUUCCUGGCUCCUGCUAUAUUACCUUAGCAGACAGUAAAGUACAAGAGGGUAACAGCUUGAAUGUGGAUGAAAUGACAAAAGAAUUAUUUAUUUAUUUUUAAACAAAAUCGAAAAAGAUAAGUAUAUAGUUCAUAUGUUAUUACAUCUUUGUUGUUAUUUAGUAUUUUUAUAUAACACAUUAUUAAAAUUUUUAACAUAAUACUUAAGAGUAAUGGCAAAAGCAGACAUUUGCUUUCCUUUUCUUCUUUUUUAAAAAUACAGAGUAAGAAACAAAAUUGGGCUCCAUGCUAGUUUCAUUCAAGCAUAGCAUCGGGCAAGGGAAUGGAGUGGCACCCAUUAUGGCAAAUACAGCACUAAGGAAUAACUCUUUUGAUAAGCUAUAUAUUUUUGCUACACCUCCUGAUUUUGUUAGGGCCGUCCAUGAGAAGAAUAUGGAGGACUAUGUUUAUGUAUGAACUAGUAGUGUUAAACAAUGUGAAGAUCUAGCUGCACUAGAAAAUAUGAGUGUCAUAUGUAGCCUAAUGAUAGAUUCUAAUGAUGCAUGUAUGUCAAACAUCCAUAGGGGGAAACCAUCCCUCUCUAUGUAACUUAAUAUGUAUAUAUCAUAGGGGGAAACCAUCCCUCUCUAUUUAACUUAAUAUGUGUGUGUGUAUAUAUAUAUAUAUAUAUAUAUAUAUAUAUAUAUAAUAUGCUUUCUGUUUCAAAAAUAAAAAGGUGCUACUUCACAAUGCCUUAAAAGAAAAUCUUAAAAUAUAUUUAAUCAGAGAGCCAUAUUUACACAAAACCAUCUGAACCCUAAAAAAAAGGAGUGCAUUUAUUGUUGGUUGAUGAAGUUGUUGGAUAGAAGUAAAUUAUUUUAAUUUUUGAGACGCAAAACUGGAACUAAUAGUACAGACUUGAAAUACCAUCAAAUAUGCAUAUGAAGUUUAAAUAGCAAGAGUAAUAGAGACGUAGCAGAAGAAAAACAUCUAAUAUCACAUUUUAAGGUAGCCUGCAUUAUCAGAAAACAUUUAAUACUAGCAUGUAGUUUCUUUAGUUGUUUCUGUAGAAAAGAAUUUGUUCUUUAAUUGCAAAUAACCAUCGGGAAGAUUUCACUUUUGUUUUGGGAUGUCAAACCAAGACUUGUCUAUUUUUCUCCCCCUCCACUAAUUAAUUUUCUUUGCUUCAUUUAACGUUCCCCCACUCUUCGGGCCAAGUAUUUGUCACUGGUCUCCGCCAGGGCCGCACUUUCGGCACCCGCACAUAAAAGUGUCGUAUUGGUGGCCGCCUCCUCGCAUUUUUCCAACAAAUUAUAAUGACUGGGAAUCACUAUGCGACGGGAAGCCUGGCCAGCCACCAUCUCCACUUGGUCUAAGGACCCGCCUUCUCCGCACGCAUCCUCGAUGGCGAUUUUUGGGCUCGCCACAUACACACAUUCACCCCUCUCUCUGCGGCUACCCGCGAUCCUCCAUCCCAAGCACAUGCAAGGAGGAGGUCAGUAACUGCCUCCCUUCUAAGAUCAUACCUCCCCAAGCGAAUGGCUUCAGCCAUGAAGACCGGCCUGGACUCACGGCGGGGUGGCUUAACCUUCUCUAUCUGUGUAAACACCGCCUUGCCAGCACGAAUCUGGUGUCUCUUCAUUUCCUACGACUCUCCUUCUUCAAGGCCCCUCUCCGUGGGACGCAAGCCGGGAUCACAUGGCGUCACUUCGAUAGCGGGCGUCCAUAUGGGGGCAACCUCGGGGACGGUGUUAGCCAUAGCUGCCGGUACCUCCUAGGUUUUGACGUUAUGUUUCUUUUGGCUAGGGAGCCGCCGCUAAUCUGGCUUCUUGCCUUGAGGAGGGAGAAGCACUGCCCCUAGACGUACCUACGAGGAGCAUAUCCUCCUCGUCAGAAUCAGACACUGCCCUAGAAGGGCCGGCCAUAGUUUUCUUCUUCUUCUUCUUCUGCGCCUUCUUCGAAGCACCUCGACCUACCACAACAUGUAUGAGUUACGCAAGGAAAAUUAAGGGGUGUCUCCAAGACAGAACGGAAACGAAAAACCUAGAUAGGCUGUUACUUGUUGGGCCAUAGAGCGUGAGGAAUUCUAGCCAGGUGCUGCAUUCCUCUGCAAACGGUAUUUAAGCUCUCACCCAUGACCUAAUGUCAUCAAUCUGUCGAGGAGUGCGAGCUGUCACUACAUAAAGGUAACAUGAAAUCUAAGAUGUUAAGCCAAAAAAAUAAGAUUGCCAUAAAACUACACACAGAAAUGCUUACACGUUGUGUUCCAUGCCUCGGGGAACCCUUCAGGGUUAGACGCCAGAUGCUCAGUACGAACGUAGAAGCAUUUCUUCCAAUAUUUACAACUGGCCUUGUCGUCGGCUUGCACCGCAAAACUCUUCAUGCCCCGACGUACCAACUUGAGCAUGGUACCUUUCAUGAAGCUCACGCUGAACAUUUACAAGAGGUGGUGAACGGAGACCUCUUUCCCAGCCUUAGCAGCGUAGGUGGUAAGAAUCCUACACACAUUCAGCAUGUACGGAGUAAGAUGGGCCGGACACGCCCCAUACCAACGGUGAAGCUCCUCCGCCAGAGGAUUGAGCGGGAGGCUAUAUCCUAUCAAAAAAGUAUACUCAUAAAACGUGCAAUAUCCUGGCAUGUGCACAUUGGCAUAGUCCGUCCGAGUGGGAGCCAUCUCAACAUAACCAUUAAUAAUGUACGACUUCCUGAGAGCAGCCAAAUGAGACGACGUCAGCUCCCUAAACCCCCUAAGGAGGGAGUUUAUAUUUGGUGUUAAAAUCCUUCCGUGUUACCAUGUCUUGCGGAAGUAUGUUGGAUUUUGAUAGAGGAACGAGGACCUCCUCGGCUUCUCCUUCUGUAUCGUCUAAGGACAAUGAAACCCUAGAAGAGGCAUCACCCUUGGACUUUUCGCUAUCGUGGCGACGCUUAACCAUGAUGAAAGCUAUGAAUGAAUGACGUUUCAGGGGCACGAGGUUUGACUCCCGGGAAUGAAUAUUUUAAGAAGAUCAACGAGUACCAGAAAACUAUGAGGAUAAGAUUGAGCAAAUACUCUCUGAAUACGUUCGAAAGUUUAAUUGAGUUCAACCUCCCCUCUACUUAUAAGGAAAAGCACACGGAAAUCGAAAAGGCAUAAUUCGAAAACCGGCGUGGGAAACAAAUACGUCAUGUCAUGUCCUGAACUGCCUCAGGAGCAAAAGUAAUGAUCACACACGUGAUCGAUGAUGUCAUCUUAAAAAGGAUCCCUAAAAGGAGGUUAUAUGUCAACGGCAUAAUACCUUCGCAUAUGAUCACGCCCUUUUUCACAGUAUCCACGCGUACGGCCAAAUUUCUAGAAAGGUCGAGCACGUAUGUCCGUUCGUUGAAGACGUUUCUCGGCUACGUCCCCAAUAAAUUGAGGGACUAUCUGUAUUGGAAAAAUUUGGUUCCCUAUUUUCUUAUGCUAUCUACGCACGUCCUUGAUAUAGAGACCGGCCCAACUGAGGUCGACUUGAGUAAGGUCGACCACAGUACGUAGUGGAAAAAGAAUGUUAUAUCUUUAAUAUUUCUAUAUAGAGACCGGCCCAACUGAGGCCGACUUGAGUAAGGUCGACCACAGUACGUAGUGGAAAAAGAAUGUUAUAUCUUGAUUAUUUCUGCUCCAGAAACCAAAAGGUUGAAAGUGUACCAGACAUUGGAUAAAUUUUAUCCUACGUAAUCCAAAGUAUUCCUUCUAUUAUUGCUAACUUCUCCUAGCUUUGGCACAGCUACCUCUAAUUAUGCAGCCUAAAGUCAUUAAGGGAGAGAUGCGUUUGGCUGAAAAUGUUUUCACACUUAUGCUUCCUUUUUACGAAUUCGUAUGGUAAAUUGAACAUGAAUAAAUACAAGUGUCUAAUAAUAAACUCUACAAAUAUAUUUUCAUCAAGAUAGAGUCGAGAGAGAAACAUAGUAUUGUUAUUAUACACUUCAAUUAAAAUUAAGUAUAGAUUAAAAAAAGGAGGUGAUUGAAUUAUGUACUAGAAUAAAAUAUGCAUUAAUGUAAAUUUGGAACAAGAAAUUAUAAAUUCCAAAAUCAAAAGACACUUGAAAAUACAAGCGCUCUUUUUUUCUCUAACAUUAAAAGAAGAUUCCGCAGUAGAAAUAUUAGAAUUUCUUGCCAUUGUUGUAAUCGAACUGGGCAAGUAAUUGUUUUAGAAAUUUUAGAAUUUCUUGCCAUUGUUGUAAUCGAACUGGGCAAGUAAUUGUUUAACAAUGGCGUGCGCGCGCGCACACACACACACACACACACACACACACACACACAUAUAUAUAUAUAUAUAUANNNNNNNNNNNNNNNNNNNNNNNNNNNNNNNNNNNNNNNNNNNNNNNNNNNNNNNNNNNNNNNNNNNNNNNNNNNNNNNNNNNNNNNNNNNNNNNNNNNNNNNNNNNNNNNNNNNNNNNNNNNNNNNNNNNNNNNNNNNNAGACAUUUCUCAAAAUAAUCAAAGAAAAGUAUAUAUAUAUAUAUAUAUAUAUAUAUGAACUGUUUGACUAAACUCAUACUUGCGAAUUAAUUGAAAAUUGCAACCCAAAAGAAAAUCAGUAAACUUCUAUCGAUGAGAGAACUAGAAAGACUAGUAAAAAUAGGGGGUUAAUUUUUUUUCUUUACAACCAUACUAUAUGAUUUAAUCUGAAAUAUUCUUAUGGUCAAAGUUCAAUAUGGUAGGCAAUCAAAAUAUAAAAGGGAAAAUUUAUGCUUUAAUCACUUUUAAUGGAGAAAGAAAAUAAUUCACUAUAGCAAACAUUUUCUAUAACAACAUUUACUAUAAGUAAUGGUACUAUUUUAGGUGAGUGGUUAUGCCAUAAAUCUUUGCAGAAUUAGUUGAUAUGUCAGAUUAGGGGUAUAUAUCAGUCAUGAGCAUAAAAACAUUUAUUAACAUUCUUUCUUUAGUAAAUCAACUCAAACUAGACAACACAAAGAAGAGAUUUUAACUUCUAUGGAUAUUGAUAACGUAACGAUUUAAGUUGUGUAUUGACAGUUAAAAAAUUUAUUUCAUACCAUUAAUUCUGACUCGUCCGUACACUGAGACCACCAACCUGUACUUUUCUUUUAUUAUUUCGAGAAAUAUCUCGUAACAUAUAAAGGGGACCUUCUCUUUGUAAAGGCUCACAUGUAUUUUGCUACUUAUAAUAUAUAAUUCUCUCUCACACUCUAUCUCUUGUGGAAAGAUGAUUACUCGUUCUAUUAUUCUUACAUCUCAAGAUAUCUACACUAUUAUCACAAAUUUUAACUACAUAUUAUUCUUUAGUUCAUAUUACGCUUGAUUCUGAUUAAGCCUUGUUAUUUUCGAUUAUUUUUUAACUUAAUAAGUAUUCACAUAACUUUUUAUUCUAACAAGUUAAUUACUUACCACAUUUACAAACCAAGAUUUAAAAAAAAGGUUGAAUAGAAACUAGGAAUGCAGAGCACACGCGUCACGAAACGACUGCUAAUGAAAGUGAGAGCUCAAACCCCUUUUCUCCUCUCCACAACUCGGUCUCCUAUUUUCCUUUUACCUUUUUUCUUUUAAAUUUUUAUUUUCCUUUUAUUUUUUCGCCUUCAGAAACUCCGAAAAAUCAACAAAACUUUCAAAUCCAAAAACCUCCAAAACCCUAAUCAAGUAAACCCGCAGAUUUUGAUAUUUCCACACUUCAAUGCAAUCCCAUUUUCAAAUCUAUCAAUUUUCGCCAACUUAAUUUCACCAUUUUAGAGUCGUUAAGCAGCUUAAUUAACUACACACACAAAUUUGGGAGUAAUAAUGGCUGGUUCUGGAAGCUUCGCGGUGUCGCGGAGUCAUGGCGGUGACCGGUUCUACAAUCCUCCUGCUAUGCGCCGGAACCAGCAGAUGUUACAACAUCAACAGCAGCAGCAGUUACAGAAACAGCAACAGCAACAGCAGCAGCAGUUGCAGAGAGCAGCUAAUAAAGCUGAGGCGCCUGCUGCUGAGGCGGCUGGGAACCGGACGGACUCGGACGAUUCGACUACGACAUUGUCUAAGAAGCCCUCCGUUUGCUCCGCUGCUUCGCCGCCACGGCCGCCGCCAGUAAAUGUUACUAAUUUGGAUAGUUUGAUUGAGUCUGUUACUCCCUUCGUGCCCGCCCUGCAUUUUUCUGAGGUAUAAGAGGUGUUUCAGUCAUUUCUGAGUUAUAAGUUACUAGCAGUCGUUUUUUAAAAAAAAUAUUUUAUUUCUAUUUUUAUAAGUAACACAAUCUUUAUAGUAGCAGGAUUUUGCUUUUUUCAUUUUGCUCUGCUCAAGAGGCGCCUGCUGCUGAGGCGGCUGUAUCCCUAUUUUGGUGUAAGUUGACUGCUAUGCUCUGCAUCCCUAGUUUCUAUUCAACUGUUUUUUUUAUAUCUUGGUUUGUAAAUGUGCUAAGUAAUUAACUUGUUAGGCUAAAAAGUUAUGUGAAUACUUAUUAAGCUAAAAGAUAAUCGAAAAUAACAAGGGUUAAUCAGAAUCAAGCGUAAUAUGAACUAAAGAAUAACAUGUAGCUAAGAUUUGUGAUAAUAGUGUAGAUAUCUUGAGAUGUAAGAACAAUAGAACAAGUAAUCAUCUUUCCACAAGAGAUAGAGUGUGAGAGAGAGUUGUAUAUUAUAAGUAGCAAAAUACACGUGAGCCUUUACAAAGGGAAGGUCCCCUUUAUAUAUUACGAGACAUUUCUCAAAAUAAUCAAAGAAAAGUACAGAGGUUGGUGAUCUCAGUGUACGGACGAGUCAGAAUUAAUGGUAUGAAAUAAAUUUUUUAACUGUCAAUACACAACUUAAAUCGUUACGUAAUCAAUAUCCAUAGAAGUUAAAAUCUCUUCUUUGUGUUGUCUAGUUUGAGUUGAUUUACUAAAGAAAGAAUGUUAAUAAAUGUUUUUAUGCUCAUGACUGAUAUAUACCCCUAAUCUGACAUAUCAACUAAUUCUGCAAAGAUUUAUGACAUAACCACUCACCUAAAAUAGUACCAUUACUUAUAAUAAAUGUUGUUAUAGAAAAUGUUUGCUAUAUUGAAUUAUUUUCUUUCUCCAUUAAAAGUGAUUAAAGCAUAAAUUUUCCCUUUUAUAUUUUGAUUGCCUACCAUAUUGAACUUUGACCAUAAGAAUAUUCAGAUUAAAUCAUAUAGUAUGGUUGUGAAAAAAAAUAAAAAUUAACCCCCUAUUUUUACUAGUUGUUCCGGUUCUCUCAUCGAUAGAAGUCUACUGAUUUUCUUUUGGAUUGCAACUUUCAAUUAAUUCGCAAGUAUGAGUUUAGUCAAACGGUUCAUAUAUAUAUAUAUGUGUGUGUGUGUACGUGCUCGCCAUUGUUAAACAAUUACUUGACCAGUUCGAUUACAACAAUGGCAAGAAAUUUUAAAAUUUCUACUGCGGAAUCUUCUUUUCAUGUUAGAGAAAAAAAGAGUGCUUGUACUUUCAAGUGUCUUUCGGUUUUGGAAUUUAUAAUUUCGUGUUCCAAAUUUACAUUAAUGCAUAUUUUAUUCUAGUACAUAAUUCAAUUACCUCCUUUUUUUAAUCUAUACUUAAUUUUAAUUGAAGUGUAUAAUAACAAUACUAUGUUUCUCUCUCGACUCUAUCUUGAUGAAAAUAUAUUUGUAGAGUUUAUUAUCAGAAUUCAUGUUCAAUUUACCAUACGAAUUCGUAAAAAGGAAGCGUAAGUAUGAAAACAUUUUCAGCCAAACGCAUCUCUCCCUUAAUGAUUUUAGGCUGCAUAAUUAGAGGUAGUUGUGCCAAAGCUAGGAGAAGUUAGCUAUAGUAGAAGGAAUACUUUGGAUUACGCAGGAUAAAAUUUAUCCAAUAUCUGGUACACUUUCAACCUUUCGGUUUCUGGAGCAGAAAUAUUCAAGAUAUAACAUUCACUAUGACUUUCCAAAAGAACAUAUGAGGUUCGCAGGCAUGCAUUUACUCAUGCAACUACCUCUUUUCCUUUUAUGGGCUACUUCUCUAAGAUAAUUACUACUAUUAAAAAUUGACUGAAACAAGAACAAACAACAAUUUUAUUAUAAAAUAGCAUCCAGAACCAUGAAUCGGACACCAAAAUGCAUGAAAAUCACAAUGUGCUUCAAAAACUUCUUGAAUUGCAACCAAGCGUCUAAAUAAUAUCAAACGAAUUUUAAAUGAUUUCAAAUUUUGCAGACAAGUUUUAAAUAGAAAAAGAGAUUUAAUCCAUGUCCCAAAACUAAAAUCUGAACCCGAUAGCCUUAAAGUUAAACCAUCUAAAUAGCAAAACGGAUUUAAUCCAUGUCCCAAAACUAAAAUCUGAACCCGAUAGCCUUAAAGUUAAACCAUGAUCAAACUUAGGUAAAUUUUAAACAUUUAAAUUGUCAACAUUCGGCAUAACAAGUCAAAUCAAUCUAGGGAUCUUUGAAUUAAAUUGCGAAAAUAUUGUCGAAGUUCAAAAUCACCGUACGAACCCAAUUAAAACAGCAUAACUCUGAUCCAAGAUUAAAUAAGUAGAAGGUUAAACUUGGUCCACCCUUCCAACUUAAACCUUCAAAAAUGAGAAACAUUCAUCCAAAUCAUUCCCGAACCACUCGAAAUUCAAAACCAACGAUACACACAAGUCAUAAUACACCAUGUGAAGCUACUCGCGACCUCAAACCGCUGAACUAAGUGCAAAUGCUUAAAACGACUAGUUGGUUCGUUACAGUCUCCUCUACUUAAACAUACGUUUGUCCUCGAAUGUUCCAGGAGUCGUUCCAAAGCUAUCAAAUCACUGCAUAAGCUUGAACUUAAGGAUACAAUGUGUUGAAGUUUUGAACCGAAAAAAAACUGAACUUUGGGAUACAACAAUCUGAAAUUUUGAAUUGAAAAAAAUUAAACUUAAGUACACAAUGUUUAGGUUCGAGUCUUUUUUUUUCCUUUAUAAAAUUGUUGUUUGUUCUUGUUUCAGUCAAUUUUUAAUAGUAGUAAUUAUCUUAGAGAAGUAGCCCAAAAAAGGAAAAGAGGUAGUUGCAUGAGUAAAUGCAUGCGUGCAAACCUCAUAUGGUAAAAGUAGACAUUUGGGAAGUAGCCCAUAAAAGGAAAAGAGGUAGUUGCAUGAGUAAAUGCAUGCGUGCAAACCUCAUAUGUUCUUUUGGAAAUUCAUAGUGAAUAUCCUUCUGUCACUUUUGGACUUUUUUUUUUAAAGUAUCACCGAACUGGAAAGAGGAAACAACCUCUCCAUAUUCAGGUGGCAAUAGUUUCUACAAGUGAGACUACAAAACCAUACUAGAGCCUGCCUAAAUAAAUACAUAAAAAUAAUUCUUGAUAUUCCUAAAUCGAUUUUGCACUUUUAAUUUUUUAUAUAUAUAUAUAUAUAUUAUGGAGGUGUACAUUGUGUACUUUUUUAUGUUUUUUGUUCAAUCUUACUCUGUCAUAUUUCUUGUUACAUGAUUGAUUUUGCUAAGCUUGCCCCUCUUCCCAAAUCUCAUCAUGACCUUCAUAGGCGACACCCGAAACAACACCCGCUCAUGCCACAUCACUAACCUUACCAUCGAUGUGAGUACGUGAUUUUUGCCCUAUAUAAAUUACUCUCAUAAAUUCAAACAAAAUAAAAUUUUCCCAUUGUUUGAAUUUUGUGGAUUUUCGUAGUAUUUUUGCUAAUUAUCUGCAUUUGUCUGUUCAUGUUUAUUUUAUUCAAUUCAUGAAAAAUAUAAAAGAAAAAUAUUGCAUUUACAUUUAGGAUUUCAUUUUACAUUUUCAGAUUAAUUGGUAAAUAGUUUGUUUCGUAAAAAAUGAAAAAAUAACAAAAAAUAACUCAUUUUACAUUUUUUUUCGUUUUGAGUUUUGAAUUUUGUAGUUUUUCUUUUAAUUUGGUAUUUAAUUAUUCGUGGUAAUUAUUAUUAAGUAAUGAGUCUAAUUUAGUAGGGUAAUUUGGUUUAAACAAUUAAUUUAGGUUUAAAUUUCAAUUUGAAAAGAAAAGAUUUUGUAAUUGAAAAAAAACAAUUGAAAGGAAAGUCUUCUUGGGGCUUCAGGCCCAAGUAUCUUACCCUAAUACCCUGCUAAACCUAUUAGAAUCGACCCAAAACCCAUUCCAAAAAUUGGCCUGCCCCACAAUUAAGCCAAACGACGGUGUUUCGCCCUAUCUCAUCUCAAUUAUUGGAUCAACGAGAUCCAACGGACCGAAACUCACCCCUCCCCCAUAUAAAAUUGUCCGAGCAAGACCACCACCCCCUCAGAACCCCCCCCCAUUUCGUCUCUCUCAACUCUUCACCUCUCAGAGACAAAAGGAAACCCUAAGUUGCCACCAAAAACUCCGGAAAUUGUCCGAACAAGACCACCACCCCCUCUGAACCCCCAUUUCGUCUCUCUCAACUCUUCAUCUCUCAGAGACAAAAGGAAACCCUAAGUUGCCACAAAAAACUCCAUGCUCUUUCCGAUGGCGGCGCCACCACCAAACUACCCCAAAUCAACACCCCAAACUCCCCUUCCUCCCUUCAUAUAUAAUUCGUCGUUGUUUCCCUUCGAAUCUUAAAUCCAAGUUCGACCUUUAAAAGUUUAAAAAACAUUUUUCAUCGAACCUGGUAGCAUGCAUGCUCAUAGGGUGUUGUUCUUUCGAGCUUUGAAGUUUGGAUUCAAAAAAAUUGAUGUCGUUCAGUUGUUCUUGACAAAUAACAAAGGAUCAACAUUAGUUUUGUUAGGUCAUUUGUCUCAAGUAGGUUUCGAGUCCUGAUUUGGUAAGUUCCCCCCCCCCCCCCCCCCCCUUUUUUUUUUUUUUUUUUUUUUUUUUUUUUUUUUUUUGUUUUUUUUUUUUUUUUUUUUUUUUUUUUUUUUUUUUUUUNNNNNNNNNNNNNNNNNNNNNNNNNNNNNNNNNNNNNNNNNNNNNNNNNNNNNNNNNNNNNNNNNNNNNNNNNNNNNNNNNNNNNNNNNNNNNNNNNNNNNNNNNNNNNNNNNNNNNNNNNNNNNNNNNNNNNNNNNNNNNNNNNNNNNNNNNNNNNNNNNNNNNNNNNNNNNNNNNNNNNNNNNNNNNNNNNNNNNNNNNNNNNNNNNNNNNNNNNNNNNNNNNNNNNNNNNNNNNNNNNNNNNNNNNNNNNNNNNNNNNNNNNNNNNNNNNNNNNNNNNNNNNNNNNNNNNNNNNNNNNNNNNNNNNNNNNNNNNNNNNNNNNNNNNNNNNNNNNNNNNNNNNNNNNNNNNNNNNNNNNNNNNNNNNNNGGUUUGUUCAUUCCUUUACUAUUUUAUUUCUUUAUUCUCCUUCGAUUUUACAUUGGUUUAGUUUUCUUCUACUAGCUUAUUUGAAAGUAGACCAAUCCUCCGGGUUUAAAUUGUCUUCUGUUCGUUGUUUUUUUUCUUUUUCCUUUGUAAAGGCUUGUUCAAUGUUUUCCUUAAUUGUGCUAUUAGCCUAUUUAAAGUUCUGAUAUCAUAUCUCGUUUAGUCACCUAGUUAAUUUAAUUAAGGUUAUUUUGAUAACUUGGUUAAUUUACUGCUUACUUGUGUGUAGUAAUCAGUCGAUUAGUGUAGGUUUUAAUUCUCAAAAUCAUUCAAGUGAUUGCCCUUUGUUUGUUGACUGAUAUGAUUCAAUUUCUUUUGUUGUUUGGACUUUGAAGCCAUUGCAUACCACACCCCAAUGGGGUUAGUUUAGGUCAUUGGGUCAGAAUUGAGCCCACAGUUGGUUUAACUAUGGGGGCAUUUUGAACCAUUUGGUUUCCUAGAGUAAAAAACAUGGUUUAAAGGGUUGAUUUAGGAACUCUAGGUGGGGAAAUCUCAGUAAGUGAUUGAGUAAGAUUCCUAGAAGUUUGGGUGGGGACCUAACUGAAAAUCGGAAUUUUACACCAAGGUUUCUAAUUAAAAAUGAAAAUAAAAAAAUGUCCUAAAGGCAAAACAUAGUUCAUCUCUGCAGACUUAAUACUUUGCCUAUAAAGGCAUCGUUUCUUUGCCAACAAGGGAAAUUUUGGCAGAUAAAAAUACUAAAAAAUUAAGCAGCUAGAGUUUUUGGGAGGAAAAGUCUGAAAAAAUAUUGAGCGAAAGAAGAAAGAACUUCAAAAUUCUUGUGUUUUUAGUGAACAAUUUGUCUAGUUUUGAGUUAGUCUCUUCAUUCUGAAACCAAAAAGGAUUUUCUUAGCUUAUUCUGGAAUGGAAGCUAGUUUAAGGGAUGUUGUGUCACUGUUCUAUUGAUGAAAUUCUGAAGUGCUUCCGUUGUUUGCUUCUUCUUUGUUGAACUACUACUACUGUUGUCAAAUAACUGCAAGAUCAUUGUAUUUAGUUUGGGACCAUUAUGAUACUUGGGAAAUAUUUUAGUUGGUUGAAUCGGUAGUUUUAGACUCUACAUUCCAUCGCUUAAAUAAUGUAAUUGGGUAGAUAAAUGUUUCUUUUAAGAUUCGUGUGUAUAAAAUCGUGUUGAGAGAAAAUGAAAAGGAAAUGGUCUAGUUUGCUUCAAUGGGUAAAAACAUGCAUUGAUUAGCAUGUGAAUGUCUUUAAACUUAGAAAUGGCUGUCAGUUCAAUUCUAGUUAGUGAUUGAAUAACUAGUAAUUGUCAGUUUAAUUUUGCUUCUAUUCAGUGUCAAUCUUACAGGAACUACUAAUAUGGGACUCAUUUGAUGUUUAAAUUCUCAUGUCAUUACUUCAAGUUAGCUUGAAACCUUAAUAUUUAAAGUUAUAUAUUAUCCAGCUAUCAAAUUGGAAUUUUCAAUUAUUUUCGAAAUUAUGUCAUUAUUAAAAUCUCAUGAAAUUGUCCAUUACGUAGUUAAAAGCUAUUUUGAAAAUCGUCUGCAUAUACAUUUGUGUUUUGGUGAUAGUAAUUCAGGUUCACAUCGGCACCCAUUGAUUUUUCAGAUGCAGCUUGGCUUUUAAGGAUUCGAAGUCGAGUCCUCACUUGCUAAUCUCAGGCUCCUGAAAGUUUUGGGCUCAUCUUGGACUUAAGUCUGAAAAGACUUGCAAAAUCGAAACUACGCACUUUGUAUCAUUUAGGUUUGUUUUGCUCUGUUGGCUCGGUUCUCUCGUUUGUUUGGGUUGUUGACGAAGUAAUGUCUCUUUAGGUAAUUGUUUGUUUAAUAAGACGCUCAUGGGUAGCUGAUUUAGUUCGAACUUUUAGCAUAUAGGUAUUUUGAAUGCCUUUAGGUUUCUCCUUAAUUAACUAGAUUUUUUAAAAUGAGUUGAGGUGUGCCAUAUUAGCCAAAUGUAUAAUUUGUGGCCCUUAUGAGCUUAUUUAGAAACCUUGUUUGUUAGAAAAAUCAAGGCGCGCCAUGCCAAGUAAAAGAUUCAAAAUGCACGGCCCUCAUUUAAUUGAUCUUGAACCUUUGGAAAUCGAGGUGUGCCAUUAGCUUAAUUUUCAUGGCCCUCGCAACCAAGCGGGGGAUAAUAUCAUUCAAGCAUAGCUUCAGGCAAGGGAAUGGAGUGGCACACGUUUUGGCAAAUGCAGCACUAAGAAAUAACUCUUUUGAUAAGCUAUACAGUUUUGGUACACCUCCUGAUUUUGAUAGGGCCGUCUAUGAGAAUGAUAUGGAGGACUAUGUUUAUGUUAGAACUAGUUGUAUUAAAUAAUGUGAAGAUUUAGCUGCACUAGGAAAUAUGAGUGCCAUAUGUAGCCUAAUGAUAGAUUCUAAUGAUGCAUGUAUGACAAACAUCCAUAGGGGAAACCAUCUCUCUCUACUUAACUUAAUAUGUAUACAUAUAUAAAAUAUGUUUUCUGUUUCAAAAAUAAAAAUGUGCUACUUAUCCCUCUCUAUGUAACUUAAUAUGUGUUUAUAUAUAUAUAUAUAUAUAAUAUGAUUUCUGUUUCAAAAAUAAAAAGGUGCUACUUCACAAUGCCUUAAAAGAAAAUCUUAAAUUAUAUUUAAUCAGAGAGCCAUAUUUACACAAAACCAUCCGAACCCUAAAAAAAAGGAGUGCAUUUAUUGUUGGUUGAUGAAGUUGCUGGACAGAAGUAAAUUUUUUUAAUUUUUGAGACGCAAAACUGGAACUAAUAGUACAGACGUGAAAUACCAUCAAAUAUGCAUAUGAAGUUUAAAUAGCAAGAGUAAUAGAGACGUAGCAGAAGAAAAACAUUUAAUAUCACAUUUUAAGGUAGCCUGCAAUAUCAGAAAACAUUUAAUACUAGCAUGUAGUUUCUUUAGUUGUUUCUGUAGAAAAGAAUUUGUUCUUUAAUUGCAAAUAACCAUCGGGAAGAUUUCACUUUUGUUUUGGGAUGUCAAACCAAGACUUGUCUAUUUUUCUCCCCCUCCACUAAUUAAUUUUCUUUGCUUCAUUUAACGUGUUCUUUGCAUCAUCAUUUCAGGUUCAAUAUCACGUUUUAAGGUACAUACAAAACUGGUAGCCUGCACAAUCAGAAAAUUCAUCCAGUGCAUUAAAGGCUUAGCUCUUCUUGGCAGCUAGCUUUUCUGGAUCUUUGAAAAGAAUGGAUUUCUGUAGAAAAGAAUUUGUUCUUUAAUUGCAAAUAACCAUCGAGAAUAUUUCACUUUUGUUUUGGGAUGUCAAACAAAGACUUGUCUAUUUUUCUCCCUCUUCACUAAUUAAUUUUCUUAGCUUUAUUUAACGUGUUUUUGCAUCAUCAUUUCAGGUUCAAUAUCACAUUUUAAGGUACAUACAAAAUUGGUAGCCUGCACUAUCAGAAAAUUCAUCCAGUGCAUUAAAGGCUUAGCUCUUCUUGGCAGCUAGCUUUUCUGGAUAUUCAAAACCCCUUCCACCAACACACCACCAUAACCAUCAGCGCCGUUUCCUGACCUCUUGUAUUCAGUAGGCCUCAAGUGAGGAAUUCUUUUUCCACUACGUACCCCUCUUCUUGGAUUUGGUAGCAUAUAUAUAGCUGUAAGUAAUUAGUCGUUGCACCAUUUGUUAUUCUUUCUUUGUUUUGUGGUUUGUAAGUGUUCACAUUUGCUUAUAAUCUUUGAUAUCGCAAUUCUUAGACUGUAAUAGGAGGUUUAGCUUUUUGGUUUUGACUGUUUAAGAGUUUAAUACUAACAUGUAGUUUCUUUAGUUGUUUUUGUAGAAAAGAAUUAGUUUGAUAAUUGCAAAUAACCACCGGGAAGAUUUCACUUUUGUUUUGGGAUGUCAAACAAACACUUGCCUAUUUUUCUCCCCUCCACUAACUAAUUUUCUUAGCUUCAACUGUACGUACUUGUUGAAGCCAUUUAAUUCUUUGCAUCAUCAUUUCAGGUUCUUUUUAUUAGUGUCCUACAUUAACAUUGUUCUCGCCAGUCUUUUCAGAUUGGGUUGAUCUGCUGAUUUGAUCAGGUAGCUAUUUAUAAAUUUGAGUUUGCAUUGCUAUCUAGUAAGAUUUGAAAAAUUCUAGUAGUAAUGAAUACUAAAGAAUUCCAUUAUGUCAUUCAGGUUAAGAUGUUGCGCCGCACAAUCAGUUGUCCAAUAGCCUAUUCCCAGAGGUAUAUUACUGCUCUCAAAACUUGAUGCUUAGUGAAAUAAUUAGAAGUAGAGUUGUAACAACAAAGGAGCUUUAGUGUUUCCAUAGACUUAAUUCCUUGGAUAAUUAUAGUUAUCAAAAUUAUAUAUUUAAUAAAGUUACCGUCCAUGAGAAGGAUAUGGAGGACUAUGUUUAUGUAUGAACUAGUAGUGUUAAACAAUGUGAAGAUCUAGCUGCACUAGGAAAUAUGAGUGUCAUAUGUAGCCUAAUGAUAGAUUCUAAUGAUGCAUGUAUGUCAAACAUCCAUAGGGGGAAACCAUCCCUCUCUAUUUAACUUUAUAUAUAUAUAUAUAUAUAUAAAAUAUGCUUUCUGUUUCAAAAAUAAAAAGGUGCUACUUCACAAUGCCUUAAAAGAAAAUCUUAAAAUAUAUUUAAUCAGAGACUCAUAUUUACACAAAACCAUCCGAACCCUAAAAAAAAGGAGUGCAUUUAUUGUUGGUUGGGAUGUCAAACAAAGACUUGUCUAUUUUUCUCCCCCUCCACUAAUUAAUUUUCUUAGCUUCAUUUAACGUAUUCUUUGCAUCAUCAUUUCAGGUUCAAUAUGACAUUUUAAGGUACAUACAAAAUUGGUAGCCUGCACUAUCAGAAAAUUCAUCCAGUGCAUUAAAGGCUUAGCUCUUCUUGGCAGGUAGCUUUUCUGGAUAUUCAAAAACUCUUCCACCAACACACCACCAUAAUCAUCAGCACCGUUUCCUGACCUCAUGUAUUCAGUAGGCCUCAAGUGAGGAAUUCUUUUUCCACUACGUACCCCUCUUCUUGGAUUUGGUAGCAUAUAUAUAUAUAUAUAUAUAUAGCUGUAAGUAAUUAGUCGUUGCACCAUUUUUUAUUCUUUCUUUGUUUUGUGGUUUGUAAGUAUUCACAUUUUGCUUAUAAUCUUUGAUAUCGCAAUUCUUAGACUGCAAUAGGAGGUUUAGCUUUUUGGUUUUGACUGUUUAAGAGUUUAAUACUAGCAUGUAGUUUCUUUAGUUGUUUCAGUAGAAAAGAAUUAGUUUGAUAAUUGCAAAUAACCACCGGGAAGAUUUCACUUUUGUUUUGGGAUGUCAAACAAACACUUGCCUAUUUUUCUCCCCCUCCACUAACUAAUUUUCUUAGCUUCAACUGUACGUACUUGUUGAAGCCAUUUAAUUCUUUGCAUCAUCAUUUCAGGUUCUUUUUAUUAGUGUCCUACAUUAACAUUGUUCUCGCCAGUCUUUUCAGAUUGGGUUGAUCUGCUGAUUUGAUCAGGUAGCUAUUUAUAAAUUUGAGUUUGCAUUGCUAUCUAGUAAGAUUUGAAAAAUUCUAGUAGUAAUGAAUACUAAAGAAUUCCAUUAUGUCAUUCAGGUUAAGAUGUUGCGCCGCACAAUCAGUUGUCCAAUAGCCUAUUCCCAGAGGUAUAUUACUGCUCUCAAAACUUGAUGCUUAGUGAAAUAAUUAGAAGUAGAGUUGUAACAACAAAGGAGCUUUAGUGUUUCCAUAGAGUUAAUUCCUUGGAUAAUUAUAGUUAUCAAAAUUAUAUAUUUUAUAUAGUUACUAGGUAUUCCUUGUAAAGCAUUGGCCGGUAAGGAUACCGACGUUUGCGGUCACUAUUGCGGUCGAUCUGAUAGAGAUGUAAUCUGAUCCCAACAAUAUCAAAUUAUUAAUAUAAACAACUCAACACCAAUAUUUACGAAAUAUCAACAAAAAAGAAGAUGAAACGUAUAAAACAUUAAAGAAUCACUAAUACAACUGAUAAAAUCCAAUACCUCGAAAUCCCAAAAAAUAUGAAGUAAAUGAACAAACUACGAUGUAUCACAAAAUUAAAAGCAAUAAAAGAGUUAAAUAAACAAAGUCACAACAACAACAACAACAACAACAACCCAAUGUAGUCCUACAAGUGGAGUCUGGGGACGGUUGGAUGUAUGCAACCUUACCCUACCCUGGAAGGAAAGAGAGACUUUUUUCGAUAGCUCAAAAAAAUCAAAUAGCAAGUGAUGACAACUCAUAAAUAAAAACACGGUUAUAAAAAAACAAUUAACAAGUAAGGCAUGCAACAGAUAAAGGCAUGAUUCGACAAGUAAUCGCGAUUAAAAUUUUUAAGCAUAUAAGAGUAUAUUUCACAAUAAAGGUAGAACAUGUACUAACAACUUCAAUUUAAUGCAUGAAAUAAGACUAAGAGUCUGAACCGAACAAAUACCACAUAUAAGCCCGUGUACACACCCAUCACCUCGUGUACUCGCCUUUCUCGCAAUUCAAAUAGUACAAUCAACCCAAAUCUUAAGGGGUGGUUUCCCCUACACAAAGUUAAGCAAGAUACUUACCUCAAUUACGCUAAUUCGAAACCCAAAAUAGCGUUUUCUUUAAAAGUUACAUCCGCCUCGUUUAAAUCUAGCAAAAACUAACUUAAUAAUAUCAAAAAAUACAAGGGAACCAAUUCCAAUUAAUAGAGCUAUAAUCUUUAUAUAUUUUUUCAAAAGUCAAAAUUAGGCUCACCCGGUAAAAACCCGAGUCGAAGGGUAGCCAUAGCCCUGCGAGUUCAUAUAUAUGGUUUGUUUUCAAUUCCGAGUCAAAUUUCUCUUAAAUCUUAAAUUUUUAUUUUUCAGAUCAUAAUAAAAAAUCCCUAAAUUUUCCCUUCAAAACCCAUGAAUUUGACGUUAAAUCUCAUAAAUAAUCAUGUAAUAUAAUUAAAAAUGGAUUAAAGUGACUUAUCGAAUAGUUUGGUAUGAAAAUCUCUCAACAAAUUGAAAUCGCCUCCCGCCAAGUCUGGGAUUCCAAAUAUGAUAAGAUGAAGGUAAGUCCUGAAAUACUCAGCGAUUAACAAACUGCACAAGUGACAUGCGCAAUUGCGGAAAAAGGAUCACAAAAGCGAAACCUAGCCAGACCUACUAAUGUCGCAUUUGUUACAAUAAACUUUGCCAUUGCGAAGGUGUUUCCCCGUAGAGGCUCAUUGCAAAAGCGACUCUAGUGCCCCAAAAGCUAGCUCCAGUGUAUAUAAUUGUGAUACAAUCCCCGUAAAUGCGAGGUCCCUUCCCCAGCAGUCCUGAUUCACAACUGCGAGAUGAAACCACCACCCUCACACAAAAUUCUAACAAAAUACAUAUAAAACUCACCUGACCCCUGGGGGAUCCACAUCAAACAUUCACACAAGUCUAAAAAUAUUAUACGAACUCGAUCACACGAUCGAAAUACUAAAAUAGCAUCCACAAGAACUCUAUCACACGAUCGAAAUACUAAAAUAGCAUCCAGAACCAUCGAUCGGACACCAAAAUGCAUGAAAAUCACUAUGUGCUUUAAGAACUUCUUGAAUUGAAACCAAGCGUCCAAAUAAUAUCACACCAAUUUUAAAUGAUUCCAAAUUUUGCAGACGAGUUCUAAAUAGAAAAACGGAUCUAAUCCAUGUCCCAACACUAAAAACUGAACCCGAUAACCUUAAAGUUAAACCAUGGUCAAACUUAGGUAAAUUUUGAAUAUUUAAAUUGUCAACUUUCGGCAUAACAAGUCAAAUCAGUCUAGGGAUCUCUAAAUUAAAUUUCGAAAAUAUUGUCGAAGUUCAAAAUAACCGUACGAACCCAACUAAAACAUCAAAACUCUGAUCCGAGAUUAAAUAAGUAGAAACUUAAACUUUUUUGCACUUUUAAUUUUUUUGUAUAUAUAUUAUGGAGGUGUACAUUGUGUACUUGUUUAUGUUUUUUGUUCAAUCUUACUCUGUCAUAUUUCUUGUUACAUGAUUGAUUUGAAAAGAUUACGAUGAACUAAUUAAGAUUUCCAUCAUUUAGAGAAUUAAAUAUGUUGCAGCGAGGAAGGAGUUGUCCGCCAUCCUUUUCUGAGAGGUAAAUUCUAAAAAUUAACAGUCUCCUCUAUUUAAACAUACGUUUUUCCUCGAAUGUUCCAGGAGUCGUUCCAAAGCUAUCAAAUCACUGCAUAGGCUUUAUCUUAAGGAUACAAUGUCUUGAAGUUUUGAACCGAGAAAAACUGAACUUUGGGAUACAAGACAUUGUAUCCUUAGGUUCAAGCUUAUGCAGUGACUUGAUAGCUUUGGAACGACUCCAGGAACAUUCGAGGAAAAACGUAUGUUUAAAUAGAGGAGACUGUAACGAACCAACUAGUCAUUUUAAGCAUUUGCAAUUUGUCCGGCGGUUUGAGGUCGCGAAUAGCUUCACAUGGUGUAUUUUUUGAAUAUCGAGUGGUUCGGGAUUGAUUUGGGUGAAUGUUUCUCAUUUUUGAAGGUUUAAGUUGGAAGAUCGAGUGGUUCGGGAUUGAUUUAGGUGAAUGUUUCUCAUUUUUGAAGGUUUAAGUUGGAAGGGUAGACCAAGUUUAACUUUCUACUUAUUUAAUCUCGGAUCAGAGUUUUGAUGUUUUAGUUGGGUUCGUACGGUUAUUUUGAACUUCGACAAUAUUUUCGGAAUUUAAUUCAGGGAUCCCAAAACUGGAACUAAUAGUACAGACUUGAAAUACCAAAACAAAAGUGAAAUCUUCCCGGUGGUUAUUUGCAAUUAUCGAACUAAUUCUUUUAUACAGAAACAACUAAAGAAACUACAUGCUAGUAUUAAACUCUUAAACAGUCAAAACCAAAAAAUUAAGGCUAUCGGGUUCAGAUUUUAGUUUUGGGACAUGGCUUAAAUCUGUUUUGCUAUUUAAAAGUUGUCUGCAAAAUUUGAAAUCAUUUAAAUUCGUUUGAUAUUAUUUAGACGCUUGGUUGCAAUUCAAGAAGUUUUUGAAGCACAUUAUGAUUUUCAUGCAUUUUGGUGUCCGAUUCAUGGUUCCGGAUGCUAUUUUAUUAUUGCGAUCGAGUUCAUAUAAUAUUUUUAGACUUGUUGAAUCCUAUUAUUCGUUUUUUUAUCAGUUAGCUUAUACUAUCAUCAUUUUUUUAUGUUAAAUUCCUUUGUGUAAGAUUCUGCGAGAAUACGAGUCGCUUCGUACACUAGUUGCCCAAUUUCGGUGAAAUCCUCCCAUUGUGUGUGGAUUAUAAAUUAAUGUGGCAUCUGCAUUAUUGUUUGUUCUUUGGAAAAACUUCAUACACUGUUAGACGCUAUCUCAAGAAAAGUAUGUCCAUUUUUUUCUUCCAUUAGUAGUACAAAUAUAUUUUCAUCAAGAUAGAGUCUAUCUCAAGAAAAGUAUGUCCAUUUUUUUCUUCCAUUAGUAGUACAAAAACGUAACUUGAAAUAAUUCCUCACUUGAGGCCUACUGAAUACAAGAGGCCAGGAAACGGUGCUGAUGAUUAUGGUGGUGUGUUGGUGGAAGAGGUUUUGAAUAUCCAGAAAAGCUACCUGCCAAGAAGAGCUAAGCCUUUAAUGCACUGGAUGAAUUUUCUGAUAGUGCAGGCUACCAAUUUUGUAUGUACCUUAAAAUGUCAUAUUGAACCUGAAAUGAUGAUGCAAAGAAUACGUUAAAUGAAGCUAAGAAAAUUAAUUAGUGGAGGGGGAGAAAAAUAGACAAGUCUUUGUUUGACAUCCCAACCAACAAUAAAUGCACUCCUUUUUUUUAGGGUUCGGAUGGUUUUGUGUAAAUAUGAGUCUCUGAUUAAAUAUAUUUUAAGAUUUUCUUUUAAGGCAUUGUGAAGUAGCACCUUUUUAUUUUUGAAACAGAAAGCAUAUUUUAUAUAUAUAUAUAUAUAUAUAAAGUUAAAUAGAGAGGGAUGGUUUCCCCCUAUGGAUGUUUGACAUACAUGCAUCAUUAGAAUCUAUCAUUAGGCUACAUAUGACACUCAUAUUUCCUAGUGCAGCUAGAUCUUCACAUUGUUUAACACUACUAGUUCAUACAUAAACAUAGUCCUCCAUAUCCUUCUCAUGGACGGCCCUUACAAAAUCAUGAGGUGUAGCAAAACUAUAUAGCUUAUCAAAAGAGUUAUUCCUUAGUGCUACAUUUGCCAAAACGUGUGCCACUCCAUUCCGUUGCCCGAUGCUAUGCUUGAAUGAAACUAGCACGGAGCCCAAUUUUGUUUCUUACUCUGCAUUUUUAAAAAUAAAAGAAGAAAAGGAAAGUAAAUGUCUGCUUUUGCCAUUACUCUCAAGUAUUAUAUUAAAAGUUUUAAUAAUGUGUUAUAUAAAAAUACUAAAUAACAACAAAGAUGUAAUAACAUGUGAACUAUAUACUUAUCUUUUCCGAUUUUGUUUAAAAAUAAAUAAAGAAUUUUUUUUCUCAUUUCAUCCACAUUCAAGCCGUUACCAUCUUGUACUUUACUGUCUGCUAAGGUAGUAUAGCAGGAGCCUGGAAGAGGCAAAUAACCAAAAGUGGCUCAAGGAUUAUAACAAAUGACACCUACACAACCAUGCAUUUACAUUUCAUGCAACAAAUACUUUUCCCCCUUUUAGGAAACCUAAGACUAGCAUUUAAUUAAGGACGUAGUCCCUACCUAAUUCAGCAUUUAUCUAACCUAAAAAAGAUUAUUUUUUCUGAUACUGCAGGCCUACCUGUUUUGUAUAUGUACCUUAAAAUGUGAUAUUGAAUUUUUUUCUUCUGCUACGACUCUAUUACUCCAUAUGCAUAUUUGAUGGUAUUUCAGGUCUGUACUAUUAGUUCCAGUUUUGGGUCUCAAAUUUACAUUUGUCCAAUACAAAUAGAUAAAUAAAAAUAUUAAAUGUUUCAGCGUGAGAAAAGUUAAUGUCAUUUCUCUGAGGCAGCACGUGAAACUUCCCAUAUUUUGCUCUGUAUCCCUAUUUUGGUGAAAAUGCGAGUUAAUGUCAUUUCUCUGAGGCAGCACGUGAAACUUCCCAUAUUUUGCUCUGUAUCCCUAUUUUGGUGUAAGUUGACUGCUAUGCUCUACGUCCCUACGUGUUCAUCAUAUCAAUGAUACUAUUGGAUAUAUCAACAAAUGUACGCUUGAGCCUCACGUGAAACUUCCCAUAUUUUGCUAUGUAUCCCUAUUUUGGUGUAAGUUGACUGCUAUGCUCUGCAUCCCUAGUUUCUAUUCAACCUUUGUUUUAAAUCUUGGUUUGUAAAUGUGCUAAGUAAUUAACUUGUUAGGCUAAAAAGUUAUGUGAAUACUGAUUAAGCUAAAAAAUAAUCGAAAAUAACAAGGGUUAAUCAGAAUCAAGCGUAAAUGAACUAAAGAAUAACAUGUAGCUAAGAUUUGUGAUAAUAGUGUAGAUAUCUUGAGAUGUAAGAACAAUAGAACAAGUAAUCAUCUUUCCACAAGAGAUAGAGUGUGAGAGAGAGUUGUAUAUUAUAAGUAGCAAAAUACACGUGAGCCUUUACAAAGGGAAGGUCCCCUUUAUAUAUUACGAGACAUUCCUUGAAAUAAUCAAAGAAAAGUACAGAGGUUGGUGGUCUCAGUGUACGGACGAGUCAGAAUUAAUGGUAUGAAUCUCGAAAUAAUCAAAGAAAAUUACAGAGGUUGGUGGUCUCACUGUACAGACGAGUCAGAAUUAAUGGUAUGAAAUAAAUUUUUUAACUGUCAAUACACAACUUAAAUCGUUACGUAAUCAAUAUCCAUAGAAGUUAAAAUCUCUUCUUUGUGUUGUCUAGUUUGAGUUGAUUUACUAAAGAAAGAAUGUUAAUAAAUGUUUUUAUGCUCAUGACUGAUAUAUACCCCUAAUCUGACAUAUCAACUAAUUCUGCAAAGAUUUAUGACAUAACCACUCACCUAAAAUAGUACCAUUACUUAUAAUAAAUGUUGUUAUAGAAAAUGUUUGCUAUAUUGAAUUAUUUUCUUUCUCCAUUAAAAGUGAUUAAAGUUAGAAAAUGUUUGCUAUUGUGAAUUAUUUUCUUUCUCCAUUAAAAGUGAUUAAAGCAUAAAUUUUCCCUUUUAAAUUUUGAUUGCCUACCAUAUUGAACUUUGACCAUAAGAAUAUUCAGAUUAAAUCAUAUAGUAUGGUUGUAAAAAACAUUAAAAAUUAACCCCCUAUUUUUACUAGUUGUUCCGGUUCUCUCAUCGAUAGAAGUCUACUGAUUUUCUUUUGGAUUGCAACUUUCAAUUAAUUCGCAAGUAUGAGUUUAGUCAAACGGUUCAUAUAUAUAUAUAUGUGUGUGUGUGUACGUGCUCGCCAUUGUUAAACAAUUACUUGACCAGUUCGAUUACAACAAUGGCAAGAAAUUUUAAAAUUUCUACUGCGGAAUCUUCUUUUCAUGUUAGAGAAAAAAAGAGUGCUUGUACUUUCAAGUGUCUUUCGGUUUUGGAAUUUAUAAUUUCGUGUUCCAAAUUUACAUUAAUGCAUAUUUUAUGCAUAUAGAAAUGCUUACAUGCUGUGUUCCAUGCCUCGGGGAACCCUUAUGGGUUAGACGCCAGUUGCUCAGUACGAACGUAGAAACGUUUCUCCCAAAAUUUACGACUAGCAAUGUCGUUGGCUUGCACCGCAAAACCCUUCUUGCCCCGACGUACCAAUUGGAGCAUGGUACCUCUCAUGAAGCUCACGCUGUACAUUUGCAAGAGGUGGUGAACGGAUACCUCUUUCCUAGCCUUAGCAGCGUAGGUGGUAAGAAUCCUACACACCUUAAGCACAUACGGGGUAAGAUGGGCCGGACACGCCCCAUACCAACGGCGAAGGUCCUCCACCAGAGGAUUGAGCGGGAGGCUAUAUCCAAUCCAAAGAGCAUACUCAUAAAACGUGCAAUAUCCUGGCCUGUGCACAUUGGCGUAGUCCGUCCCAGUGGGAGCCAUCUCAACGUAAUCAUUUAUAUUGUACGCCUUCCUGAGAGCAGCCAGAUGAGACGACGUUAGCUCGCUAAACUCCCAAUGAGGGAGUUUAUAUUUGUUGUUAAAAGCCUUCUGUGUUACCAUGUCUUGCGGAAGUAUGUUGGAUGUUGAUAGAGGAACGAGGACCUCCUCAGCUUCUCCUUUUGUAUUGUCUAAGGACGAUGAAACCCUAGAAGAGGCAUCCCCAUUGGACUUUUCGCUAUCGUGGCGACGCUUAACCAUGAUGAAAUUUAUGAAUGAACGACGUUUGAGGGGCACAAGGUUCGAUUUUCGGGAAACAAAAUUUUAAGAAGAUCGACGAGUACCAAAAAAGGAUGAGGAUAAGACUGAGCAAAUACUCUCUGAAUAGGUUCGAAAGUUUAAUUGAGUUCAACCUCCCCUCUACUUACAAGGAAAGGCACACGAAAAUCGAAAAGGCAUAAUUCGAAAACCAGAGUGGGAAACCAAAACGUCAUGUCAUGUCCUGAACCGCCUUGGGAGCAAAAGUAAUGAUCACACACGUGAUCGAUGAUGUCAUCUUAAAAAGGAGCCCUAAAAGGAGGUUAUAUGUCAACGGCAUAACACCUUCGCAUAUGAUCACGCCCUUUUUCACAGUAUCCAAGCGUACGGCUAAAUUUCUAGAAAGGUCGAGCACGUAUGUCCGUUCGUUGAAGACGUUUCUCGGCUACGUCCCCAAUAAAUUGAGGGACUAUCUGUAUUGGAAAAAUUUGGUUCCCUAUUUUCUUAUGCUAUCUACGCACGUCCUUGAUAUAGAGACCGGCCCAACUGAGGUCGACUUGAGUAAGGUCGACCACAGUACGUAGUGGAAAAAGAAUGUUAUAUCUUUAAUAUUUCUGCUCCAGAAACCGAAAGGUUGAAAAUGAACCAGACAUUGGAUAAAUUUUAUCCUACGUAAUCCAAAGUAUUCCUUCUACUAUAGCUAACUUCUCCUAGCUUUGGCACAGCUACCUCUAAUUAUGCAGCCUAAACUCAUUAAGGGAGAGAUGCGUUUGGCGGAAAAUGUUUUCAUACUUAUGCUUCCUUUUUACGAAUUCGUAUGGUAAAUUGAACAUGAAUAAAUACAAGUGUCUGAUGAUAAACUCUACAAAUAUAUUUUCAUCAAGAUAGAGUCGAGAGAGAAACAUAGUAUUGUUAUUAUACACUUCAAUUAAAAUUAAGUAUAGAUUAAAAAAAAGGAGGUAAUUGAAUNNNNNNNNNNNNNNNNNNNNNNNNNNNNNNNNNNNNNNNNNNNNNNNNNNNNNNNNNNGAGUAAUAUAUAAAGGGGACCUUCCCUUUGUAAAGGCUCACGUGUAUUUUGCUACUUAUUAUACACAACUCUCUCUCUCUUGUUGGAAAUAUUAUUACUUGUUCUAUUGUUCUUACAUCUCAAGAUAUCUACACUAUUAUCACCAAUCUUAGCGACAUGAUAUUCUUUAGUUCAUAUUACGCUUGAUUCUGAUUAACUCUUGUUAUUUUCGAUUAUUUUUUAGCUUAAUAAGUAUGCACAUAACUUUUUAGCUAACAAGUUAAUUACUUAGCACAUUUACAAACCAAGAUUGAAAAAAAAAAGGUUGAAUAGAAACUAGCGUAUAUCUAGACUAAACUGAAAGGCAGAAAGAAUAGUCUUUUUUAGGUUAGAUAAAUGCUGAAUUACGUAGGGACUACGACCUUAAUUAAAUGCUAGUCUUAGGUUUCCUAAAAGGGGAAAAAGUAUUUGUUGCAUGAAAUGUAAAUGCAUGGUUAUUUAGGUGCCAUUUGUUGUUAUCCUUGAGCCACUUUUGGUUAUUUGCCUCUUCCAGUCUCCUGCUAUAUUACCUUAGCAGACAGUAAAGAACAAGAGGGUAACAGCUUGCAUGUGGAUGAAAUGACAAAAAAAAAUUCUUUAUUUAUUUUUAAACAAAAUCGGAAAAGAUAAGUAUAUAGUUCACAUGUUAUUACAUCUUUGUUGUUAUUUACUAUUUUUAUAUAACACAUUAUUAAAACUUUUAAUAUAAUACUUAAGAGAAAUGGCAAAAGCAGACAUUUGCUUUCCUUUUCUUCCUUUAUGUAAGAAACAAAAUUGGGCUUCAUGCUAGUUUCAUUCAAGCAUAGCUUCUGGCAAGGGAAUGGAGUGGCACACGUUUUGGCAAAUGCAACACUAAGGAAUAACUCUUUUGAUAAGCUAUAUAGUUUUGCUACACCUCUUGAUUUUUUUAGGGCCGUCUAUGAGAAGGAUAUGAAGGAUAAUGUUUAUGUAAGAACUAGUAGUAUUAAACAAUGUGAAGUUCUAGCUGCACUAGGAAAAACG
This 42885-nucleotide long non-coding RNA is filed under the name Nicotiana benthamiana. RNAcentral's name for it is "long non-coding RNA (NBEN_LNC006524)". The record is from RNAcentral. Lineage: Eukaryota; Viridiplantae; Streptophyta; Magnoliopsida; Solanales; Solanaceae.